This 491-nucleotide ribosomal RNA is filed under the name uncultured bacterium. RNAcentral describes it as "partial 16S ribosomal RNA". It matches the Rfam family "Bacterial small subunit ribosomal RNA", at positions 29 to 506 of the family's 1533-position model. The record is from RNAcentral.
AGUGAACGCUGGCGGUAGGCCUAACACAUGCAAGUCGAACGGCAGCACAGUAAGAGCUUGCUCUUACGGGUGGCGAGUGGCGGACGGGUGAGGAAUACAUCGGAAUCUACUUUUUCGUGGGGGAUAACGUAGGGAAACUUACGCUAAUACCGCAUACGACCUACGGGUGAAAGCAGGGGAUCUUCGGACCUUGCGCGAUUGAAUGAGCCGAUGUCGGAUUAGCUAGUUGGCGGGGUAAAGGCCCACCAAGGCGACGAUCCGUAGCUGGUCUGAGAGGAUGACGAGCAACAAUAGAACGGAGAAACUGCCCACACUCCAAGGGGAGGCAGAGGGGGGGAAAAUUGGAAAAAGGGAGAAAGCCUGGCCCAGCCAUGCCGGGUGGGUGAAGAAGGCCUUCGGGGUGUAAAGCCCUUUUUUUGGGAAAAAAAAGCAGCGGGUAAAAACCCCGGUGUUCUGACGGGACCCAAAAAAAGAGCACCGGAAAACUUCGG